Molecule: ribosomal RNA, 419 nt
Filed under: uncultured bacterium
Lineage: Bacteria
Description: bacterial SSU rRNA
Rfam family: Bacterial small subunit ribosomal RNA
Source: RNAcentral
CGUGUCGUGAGAUGUUGGGUUAAGUCCCGCAACGAGCGCAACCCUUAUUACUAGUUGCCAGCAUUCAGUUGGGCACUCUAGUGAGACUGCCGGUGACAAACCGGAGGAAGGUGGGGAUGACGUCAAAUCAUCAUGCCCCUUAUGACCUGGGCUACACACGUGCUACAAUGGCGUAUACAACGAGUUGCCAACCCGCGAGGGUGAGCUAAUCUCUUAAAGUACGUCUCAGUUCGGAUUGUAGGCUGCAACUCGCCUACAUGAAGUCGGAAUCGCUAGUAAUCGCGGAUCAGCACGCCGCGGUGAAUACGUUCCCGGGUCUUGUACACACCGCCCGUCACACCAUGAGAGUUUGUAACACCCAAAGCCGGUGGGGUAACCUUCGGGAGCCAGCCGUCUAAGGUGGGACAGAUGAUUAGGGU